RNAcentral lists this ribosomal RNA (495 nucleotides) under uncultured bacterium. Its description in RNAcentral is "partial 16S ribosomal RNA". It matches the Rfam family "Bacterial small subunit ribosomal RNA", at positions 28 to 507 of the family's 1533-position model. The record is from RNAcentral.
GAUGAACGCUGGCGGCGUGCCUAAUACAUGCAAGUAGAACGCUGAAGGCGGAGCUUGCUCUUCUGGAUGAGUUGCGAACGGGUGAGUAACGCGUAGGUAACCUGCCUGGUAGCGGGGGAUAACUAUUGGAAACGAUAGCUAAUACCGCAUGACAACAGUUAUUGCAUGAUAACUGUUUAAAAGGGGCAACUGCUCCACUACCAGAUGGACCUGCGUUGUAUUAGCUAGUUGGUGAGGUAACGGCUCACCAAGGCGACGAUACAUAGCCGACCUGCGAGGGUGAUCGGCAACGCUGGGACUGGGAGAUGGCCCAGACUCCUGCGAGAGGGAGCAGGAGGGGAUCUUCGGGAAUGGAAGGAAGGGUGAACGAGCGACGCCGGGCGAGUGAAGGAGGUAUUCGGGCCGUGAAGGUCAGGAGGGAGAGAAGAAUGAGUGGGAGUGUGGAAAGUGAAGAUUGUGACGGUACCUGAAGAGAAAGCGACGGCUAACUACGUG